CGCAUCUGUGCAUGCAGCAUAUCAAUAAGCGGAGGAAAAGAAACUAACAAGGAUUCCCCUAGUAACGGCGAGUGAAGCGGGAAGAGCUCAAAUUUGAAAUCUUAAAGGGUUUCCCUUUACGAAUUGUAGUUUAAAGAAGUGUUUUCUGUUGAGGUUUUGGUAAAAGUUCUUUGGAAUAGGACAUCAUAGAGGGUGAGAAUCCCGUAUUUGACCUUUACUUUCAACUUUGUGAUACACUUUCAAAGAGUCGGAUUGUUUGGGAAUGCAGUCCAAAAUGGGUGGUGAAUUUCAUCUAAGGCUAAAUAUUGGCGAGAGACCGAUAGCGAACAAGUACCGUGAGGGAAAGAUGAAAAGAACUUUGAAAAGAGAGUUAAACAGUACGUGAAAUUGUCAAAAGGGAAGCGUUUGACACCAGUGUUGUUUUUCUGAAAAUCAAUUAAAGAACUGUUUAUGCUAAGUUGUUUAGACUUUAUCAGCUAACUGUUUAGUUUUGAGCUUUUCUUUAAUGCACCUUUCAGUUAACAAGUCAACAGUCAAUUUCUUCUGCUGUAAAAAAGCUUGAGGAAGGUGGCUUGAGAUUCGUCUUAAGUGUUUAUAGCCUCUUGCCUAUGCAGUCGGAGAGAUUGAGGUCUGCAGCGUAGAUCCUUCGGGGCUAAAUGCAUUUGUGCUAAGUUAUAACAUUUUAUAGACAACUUGUUGACUAUGAUUUGUCUUGUAGCUUACUCGCUUAUGUUAUUUUACCUACGCUUAGGAUGUUGAACGCGCACAGAGUCUC
Molecule: ribosomal RNA, 775 nt
Filed under: uncultured Neocallimastigales
Lineage: Eukaryota; Fungi; Neocallimastigomycota; Neocallimastigomycetes; Neocallimastigales
Description: partial large subunit ribosomal RNA
Rfam family: Eukaryotic large subunit ribosomal RNA
Source: RNAcentral